RNAcentral lists this ribosomal RNA (787 nucleotides) under uncultured bacterium. Its description in RNAcentral is "bacterial SSU rRNA". It matches the Rfam family "Bacterial small subunit ribosomal RNA", at positions 97 to 895 of the family's 1533-position model. The record is from RNAcentral.
GGCGAACGGGUGAGUAACACGUGGGUGAUCUGCCCCUGACUUUGGGAUAAGCCUGGGAAACUGGGUCUAAUACCGGAUAUGACCAAGGAUUGCAUGGUUCUUGGUGGAAAGCUUUUGCGGUUGGGGAUGGGCCCGCGGCCUAUCAGCUUGUUGGUGGGGUAAUGGCCUACCAAGGCGACGACGGGUAGCCGACCUGAGAGGGUGAUCGGCCACACUGGGACUGAGACACGGCCCAGACUCCUACGGGAGGCAGCAGUGGGGAAUAUUGCACAAUGGGCGCAAGCCUGAUGCAGCGACGCCGCGUGAGGGAUGACGGCCUUCGGGUUGUAAACCUCUUUCAGCAGGGACGAAGCGCGAGUGACGGUACCUGCAGAAGAAGCACCGGCCAACUACGUGCCAGCAGCCGCGGUAAUACGUAGGGUGCGAGCGUUGUCCGGAAUUACUGGGCGUAAAGAGCUCGUAGGCGGUUUGUCGCGUCGUCUGUGAAAUUCUGCAGCUUAACUGCAGGCGUGCAGGCGAUACGGGCAGACUUGAGUACUACAGGGGAGACUGGAAUUCCUGGUGUAGCGGUGAAAUGCGCAGAUAUCAGGAGGAACACCGGUGGCGAAGGCGGGUCUCUGGGUAGUAACUGACGCUGAGGAGCGAAAGCGUGGGUAGCGAACAGGAUUAGAUACCCUGGUAGUCCACGCCGUAAACGGUGGGUACUAGGUGUGGGUUCCAUUUCACGGGGAUCCGUGCCGUAGCUAACGCAUUAAGUACCCCGCCUGGGGAGUACGGCCGCAAGGCU